CACGUAGGUGGCGAGCGUUGUCCGGAUUUACUGGGCGUAAAGGGAGCGUAGGCGGACUUUUAAGUGAGAUGUGAAAUACUCGGGCUCAACUUGAGUGCUGCAUUUCAAACUGGAAGUUUAGAGUGCAGGAGAGGAGAAUGGAAUUCCUAGUGUAGCGGUGAAAUGCGUAGAGAUUAGGAAGAACACCAGUGGCGAAGGCGAUUCUCUGGACUGUAACUGACGCUGAGGCUCGAAAGCGUGGGGAGCAAACAGG
Molecule: ribosomal RNA, 253 nt
Filed under: uncultured bacterium
Lineage: Bacteria
Description: partial 16S ribosomal RNA
Rfam family: Bacterial small subunit ribosomal RNA
Source: RNAcentral